AAAAACAUAGUCUUUAGCCAAACAAGUAUUAAAGGUCAUGCCUGCCCAGUGAACCUAAUGGCCGCGGUAUCCUAACUGUGCAAAGUUAGCGUAAUCACUUGUCUUUUAAAUAAAGACUCAUAUGAAUGGUUAAAUGAGGAUAGCCCUGUCUGUGAAACUGAUCUCCAAGUACAAAAGCUUGGAUUUACCCAUGACAAGAAGAUCAUGUGGAGCUUAAAAUAACACUAUUAUAAACAAUAGAACAUUUUAAGUUGGGGCGAUUUCGGAAUAAAAAAGAACUUCCGAGCAUGGAGUCAACAACUCUGACCUAGACCAACAAGUCAAACUGACCCAGUCUUGCUGAUCAACGAACCAAGUUAACCCAGGGAUAACAGCACCAUCUUCUUCAAGAGAUCCUAUCGACAAAAAGGUUUACGAAGUUGAAGUUGGAUCAGGACACACAAAUGGUGCAGCAGCUAUUAAAGGUUCAUUUGUUCAAUGAUUAACAGUCCUACGUGAUCUG
This 502-nucleotide ribosomal RNA is filed under the name Lacertaspis rohdei. RNAcentral describes it as "partial 16S ribosomal RNA". It matches the Rfam family "Bacterial large subunit ribosomal RNA", at positions 1809 to 2607 of the family's 2925-position model. The record is from RNAcentral. Lineage: Eukaryota; Metazoa; Chordata; Lepidosauria; Squamata; Scincidae.